GACGAACGCUGGCGGCGUGCUUAACACAUGCAAGUCGAACGAUGAACCCGGAGCUUGCUCUGGGGGAUUAGUGGCGAACGGGUGAGUAACACGUGAGUAACCUGCCCUGGACUCUGGGAUAAGCGUUGGAAACGACGUCUAAUACCGGAUAGGACCUUGGAUCGCAUGAUCUGGGGUGGAAAGUUUUUUCGGUCUGGGAUGGACUCGCGGCCUAUCAGCUUGUUGGUGAGGUACUGGCUCACCAAGGCGUCGACGGGUAGCCGGCCUGAGAGGGUGACCGGCCACACUGGGGCGGAGACACGGCGGCGACGCCUACGGGAGGAAGCAGUGGGGGAGAAUGCACAAUGAGCGAAAGCAUGAUGCAGCAACGCCGCGUGCGGGAGGACGGCCGUCGGGUUGUAAACCGCUUUUAGUAGGGAAGAAGGGCUUCGGCUUGACGGUACCUGCAGAAAAAGGACCGGCUAACUACGUG
Molecule: ribosomal RNA, 472 nt
Filed under: uncultured bacterium
Lineage: Bacteria
Description: partial 16S ribosomal RNA
Rfam family: Bacterial small subunit ribosomal RNA
Source: RNAcentral